This 117-nucleotide non-coding RNA is filed under the name Homo sapiens (human). Lineage: Eukaryota; Metazoa; Chordata; Mammalia; Primates; Hominidae. The record is from Rfam by way of RNAcentral.
GCUGGGCAUGGUGGCUCAUGCCUGUAAUCCCAGCUCUUUGGGAGGUUGAGGCGGGUGGAUCACCUGAGGUCAGGAGUUCAAGACCAGCCUGGCCAACAUGGUGAAAACCUGUCUCUA